RNAcentral lists this long non-coding RNA (1410 nucleotides) under Meleagris gallopavo (turkey). Its description in RNAcentral is "lncRNA (ENSMGAG00000017971.1)". The record is from RNAcentral. Lineage: Eukaryota; Metazoa; Chordata; Aves; Galliformes; Phasianidae.
GUCUGAUUGCUUGCUGAUAAUCAUCAAUACUGAUAGUUGUUAUUAAUCUCAUUCUUUUUGUCUAUGCAAUGAAAGGUGGUUAGAUGAAUAUCAAGAUGAUGGGAAAACUGUGACGGAGUUAACUGUUGAAAGUGAGUAUUUUGUUACAGAUUAUCUUUUUUGUUAUAACAAUAGAGUGUUAUUUACUUCCUAGUUAUUACUAAAGAUCCUUUUUGAAUAUAAUCAUAACAUAUGAAGAAAAGUGAUAAUUAAGCUUGCUCACAUGGAUUUUUUCUGCUAAUAUUUUAGAAGCUGUCAAUCCAGAGAAGGCAUUCCUUAAUGCACAACAGUGGAGAGUGCAGGUGAAAACAGAUGGAGAUUCCCCAGAGCCACAUGAUUGCAAAAGGACCCUUGUGAUUUAUGGCUCAAAGGGCAAAAGCGAUGAGCUACUGCUUUCACCACAAGACCCAGGACAUGUAUGUUUUCUACCCAGAGCAACAGAUGAAUUCAUUGUAAGUCAUAAUAUAUUUACACACAGUACAACUUUCUGUGUUACUACAGUACUAUAUUUAUAAUGACAUUUCUCUCCAGCACAAAGAUAUAUAUUUAUGGAAUGCUAGCUUGGUUGCUACAUAUAACAUAUUUAUUGCUAAAGAUGGAAUUAUGUGACUUUACAUCUUUGGUCAUCUUCUGCUUCUGGACCUGUUUGACAACAGGCAGGUGAAGUAUUCUCUUUGAAUUUUCAGUAUUUAUCAGGGAGAUAAAUGGUCCCUUUCAUGUAAUUUAUAGCAUUCACCAGCUCAUCUUCUGUGUUGCUUUGUUUUUAAUUCUCUAAAGAAUCCUGAGUUCCAGUUUAUACAAAACCAAUAUGCAAUUAUUUGAGAAAGAAGGAUUAUAUGUUAUUCCCAGAGGACAUCUGUGGCUUUUUCUUUCCUUCAUUUCAGUCUUCAUAAAACAGUCUCCACUUUCCUCCCAAAUGCCUCUCUUUCAGGCCACCAGGCAGUGAGUUUUCCUGGAUAAUCAUAGCAUACCAAAGCGUAAUGAGCCCUCAGGCAACAGCAUAUACUUGUUCACUAUUAAAAUCAACCUCAGCACAGUCCUGACUACCUGUAUACCUCACAUACAUCCUGCUGCUUUGAGAGCAUUCAGCUGAGGCAUCUUUUUAGUGUUCAAAUUAUGUCCUGGCUUGCUAGGGUAUAUCAUUGCAAAUUCUGUUCAUUGGCCUGAAGUACAGCUUCUAGUUAGCCAGAUGAGAGAACUAGCUUGCAAUUCGUGGUAGUUUUAUAAAGCUCAGAAAUGCUUUUCAGUGGCUGCAAUAAAUAUUCUGAAAAUAAUGACAAAGAUACAUUUAGAAAAUGUUGUGAAGGCUUCCUUAAAAUGAGCAGAUCCAAGCUGAUUUUUUUGAAUUUAAAUAACAAGAUAAAGCAAUUU